Molecule: long non-coding RNA, 1297 nt
Filed under: Gallus gallus (chicken)
Lineage: Eukaryota; Metazoa; Chordata; Aves; Galliformes; Phasianidae
Description: lncRNA (ENSGALG00010010842.1)
Source: RNAcentral
AUCUCUUUCUGGAGAUCACUUCCUGGUGAAGCUUUCUCUUGUGAACCUAGAGUCUUCUGCUAAUGGUUCACAGGUGCCACAUCCACGAGCGGAGACUGGAAAAACAAUCCUAAUUUUUGUGAGAGGCUUUCUUCCCUUUCUAGCCUAAGUGCGAAUGAAAAGGAAUGCUGAUAAACAAAAGCAUAAAAGGAGCCAUAUUGUACAGCACAAGGCAGCCCUGGAAAGAAGUUUAGUAUUCUGGGAAUAUAUGGCACUAAAGUACUUGUCAGUGUUGCAGUAUUUUGACACAUAAGUGGGACACAUCUGAAACCUUAUCUUUGCCCUCCACUGCCUAGUGCAAAGCAUUGGCACGGUGACAGAAUUCAUCUUGCUCAGGAGUCAAGAUGUUACAAGAGCCAUCUUCAGCAAAAAAAAGGGAGAAAAGACAGAAGUACUGCCUUUUUUUUGAGUCUCACAGCCCUGGGUUGGCAAUUGCAGCGUCUAUACUUGUGACAAGCCUGAGAGAUUUUGUCUCAGCUCAAAAAAUGUACAAUUUGUGACCUUGGUCUCUGGGGAAAUGUCAAGAAGCACUGAAUGAAGAGGAUACUUUCAUUAGCCUUUGGGAUGUUGCCAGCGCUCCCAAACUGUUGUCAGCUCUGCCGCUGCUCAUAAGAUUUUCCCAUCUGUGUAAUCAGUUGUCAAGAUAUAUCUUUUUUGCUUCCAGAAGGUAUUCAUUCUGCCUAUACCUGAUUGCUAUUUUUCCUGUGUGGGGUUGUUUUCAUGUCUGAAAUUCCAGUGGGAAUUUACUGUAUUUUCAGCUCAUCAUUUCAAUUGCAUCUGUUUUGUUAUUGCUGAUGGUAGUGCUGUUUUUGGUUGGUCCUGGUGAAAUUAGUGGUUCUGAAUGGUGUUGCAUUAGCAGCCUCUAUACUGACGUCUUUCCAAUGGAGCAGAUACAGGACCUGUGUAAGCUUUACUAAAGGUCUCAGCACGACUGAGAGCAGCAUACACCCUUGGUUGUAUCUUUGCAACAACUAAGAUUGACUAAGAUUGAAAGAGCCUAUUACAAGUGCAAACACUGUUGAUAACAUGUGCUGUAGGCUCUGAUCCACCGCAAACGGCCUAACAGAAGCCCAUUUCACAGCUCACCCAGCAGUGGGAUGAGAGUCCGUUUGUGGCUGGAGCUCUCUGAGUGCUUCCUGAGGAAGACAAAGGAAAAUCUUGGUAGGGAGAUUUGGAUGAGAUGGCGGUGGCUGGUUGCAUACUAUGAAGAAGCCUUGACCCAGCUAACUGAUUUAUUCAGACUUGCCUCAGCUCUUGG